RNAcentral lists this long non-coding RNA (531 nucleotides) under Malus domestica (apple). RNAcentral's name for it is "long non-coding RNA (MDOM_LNC001319)". The record is from RNAcentral. Lineage: Eukaryota; Viridiplantae; Streptophyta; Magnoliopsida; Rosales; Rosaceae.
GUCAUCUGGUAUGGACUUUAAAGGGCAGUCUUCCCAACGCAACCGUAUUAACUCUUUGGGAAGAUGUUUGUAUUCUCCCUUGAGCUCUAUGCUGAUGCGGUCAAGGGAUAAACGAGUGAGAUUCUUCAAUCUUACUAUGGAAGGUGGUACUUCUCUUAUGUCUGUUUGCUUUGCUUCAAGUGUUCUCAGUGAUAUCAUCUCCCCUAUAUCCUCAUGCAGUUCUCUUAAUUGUUGACAGUAAUUAAGAAGAAGAGUCUCAACAGAUUUCAAUUUAUAGAAAUCCCUUGGAAGAGAAAUAAGCUUAUGACAGUGUCUAAGGUUCACCAAAGAAAGUCUUUUAAGAUGACCAAUGGAAGGUGGUACUUCUCUUAUGGCUGUUCGCUCAGCUUCAAGUGUUCUCAGUGAUAUCAUCUCCCCUAUAUCCUCAUGCAGUUCUAUGAAUUUUGAACACAUAUUAAGAAGAAGAGUCUCAACAGAUUUCAAUUUAUAGAAAUCCCUUGGAAGAGAAAUAAGCUUAUGACAGUCUCUAAG